RNAcentral lists this long non-coding RNA (884 nucleotides) under Parus major (Great Tit). Its description in RNAcentral is "lncRNA (ENSPMJG00000003042.1)". The record is from RNAcentral. Lineage: Eukaryota; Metazoa; Chordata; Aves; Passeriformes; Paridae.
UAUUAUUAUUGCCGAUAUUAUAGCAAAUGCAUUUUUUUUGCCUUGUAAACAAGAUUUUGCUUACAGCUAAAUGAAAAGAAGAGAAGUUAAUCACGUUGAAAUAAUAGGUUUAAAAAGGUAAUUCAGUAAUGUUUGGCUGAUGUUUAAUCUUCCCCAAUAGAAGCCAUGCUGAGAGAAAUGACAGAAAUUCUGCUUUUGUAAUUAAACUGUAUUCAUCACUGGCAGGGCAGCUGAAGGAGAGCUGAAAUAAUGCAGUGCCUGCUGACUCCUGGCAGAGCCUCCAAGCAGGGACUUCAAGGUUUGUUAAGUGACAGUGGUGGCUGCAAAUCCUGAAAAUGAAGAGUAUCAUCACAGCUUCCAGUGUAAGAACUUGACACUGUGGGUCUUUUUUGCAGGAGGGUGUGAAGCUUUUUCUGAACCCAUCAGAAAAGAUGUCUCUGAAAACAGCACCCAUCUCUCUGCAGAAGAGUAGAAACAAUCACCCAAGAUAUGUCCAGGGGCCUUUUCCCCACCAGAGCUCAAUGUCUUACUCUUACAUGUUUUUCUGAAUCUGAUCCCUAGCCAACCACUCUGUAUCCAUCUCUAAUUCCAGGUCUGAGUGCUCCUCCUUAGCACUUUUGAAAGAAAUCCAGCACUGGACAGGACCUGGGAGUCCAAAUCCCACAGGAAAGCUCAGAAGUUUUGAAGCUUGGCCACCCUUACCAUAAGUCAGCUUCACACUCUCCCCAUGCUUGUGGAAGCACUGUAUCAUCCCUCAAUGAGAAGAUCUGUAUGUUGGAGUGGCAGAAGCAGGCAGGUUUUCAUUCUCUCCCACCUUCUCUAAGGUCAGGUGAAAUUUUUCUCAAGGAGUUUAAAAGGUGAUCAGGCAUAAACUGUAUCGGAUG